CAGCCGCCGCGGUAAUACGUAGGGGGCGAGCGUUGUCCGGAAUUAUUGUGCGUAAAGCGCGCGCAGGCGGUCCUUUAAGUCUGAUGUGAAAGCCCACGGCUCAACCGUGGAGGGUCAUUGGAAACUGGGGGACUUGAGUGCAGGAGAGGAGAGCGGAAUUCCACGUGUAGCGGUGAAAUGCGUAGAGAUGUGGAGGAACACCAGUGGCGAAGGCGGCUCUCUGGCCUGUAACUGACGCUGAGGCGCGAAAGCGUGGGGAGCAAACAGGAUUAGAUACCCUGGUAGUCCACGCCGUAAACGAUGAGUGCUAAGUGUUAGAGGGGUCACACCCUUUAGUGCUGCAGCUAACGCGAUAAGCACUCCGCCUGGGGAGUACGGCCGCAAGGCUGAAACUUAAAGGAAUUGGCGGG
RNAcentral lists this ribosomal RNA (410 nucleotides) under uncultured microorganism. RNAcentral's name for it is "bacterial SSU rRNA". It matches the Rfam family "Bacterial small subunit ribosomal RNA", at positions 509 to 917 of the family's 1533-position model. The record is from RNAcentral.